CCUCCUGGCCUUAAGUGAUCCGCCCGCCUCGGCCACCCACAGUGCUGGGAUUCCAGGCGUGAGCCACCGCGCCGGCCCUGAACUGGAUUUCAAAGGAUGAAUAGCAGUUUGCCAAGCAGACAGGAGGUACAGGGAACAGCAGGUGCCAGGCCCUGGAAGUGUAAACCGUCACAGGAUGAUGCGGAAAAUACAGGAAAGUGACUUUGCCAAACCACCAAAUAUGAGGCCAGGGCGUGAUGGGAGACAAGGUUGGAGAUCACCAGGCGUCCUGCCAAAAGCUUUUCAUCCUGUAGGCAGCUGGGUACCGCAAAAGGUUAUUAAACUGAGGAAUGACAGUUGUAUUUGAAUUUCCGCUAGAGCUCUUUGAGCAGUGUGGAGAAUGAAUGUUAAGACAAAUUCUACUUAGGAAGCAAAGAUCCUGGAGGAAGGGGGGGGCCUGAGCUAUGCAGGCGACGGUGAGAGAAGGGCAUGGAGUCAACACCUGUUUGGAAAAUAGAAUUGACAUGUGGGGGUGCCAAUGGGAUAACGCAGAUGACAAAAAGGGGUGUCAUCUCCAUAUCCUCCUUUAAGAGCAGAAGCCUUAGUUCAGACGCGCUCUACAAAGUUCCAACCAUGGACAUGGGGACAAGAAAGCCAGGGCAUAUGGUCACCUUGGACCCAGGACACCCACGACCAGUGAUUUUUGUUUUUUGAGACGGUGUCUCACUCUGCCGCCUAGGCUGGAGUGGGUGGCGCAAUCUCAGCUCACUGCAACCUCCGCCUCCUGGGUUUAAGUGAUUCUCCUGCCUCAGCCUCCUGAGUAGCUGUGACUGCAGGCGUGCACCGUGGUGGAUGUUUUGUUAUCACUGUUUCCUAUGCCGCAUUUGAACAGCCUACCUGUCUGAGGAGAAGGGAGCCUCCGUGGUGGGGCUCUGCGUGGCAGAGAUUUCUGGUAACUGGGACAGACACCAGUCCAGGCACUUGACUGCCUGACUUGAAUCUGGAGUGAUGUCCCAAAGAAACAAACAGGUGGCUUACCUCAUAGUGGCAAAAGGGCUGCAGGAGCUCUAGGACUCACAUGCAUCCUCCGUCAUGAACAAGAAGAGGAGGGAACCACCCAGGAAGGUCGCUCCUAAAACCCUGACCCACAGAAACUGAACUAACACAUGUUUAUGGUUGUUUUAAAGCAGUCGGUUUUGAGGUCGUCUGUUACUCGGCAAGAUGUAAUGAAUGCAGCAGUUCUUCCAUUCCCAGGCUUUCCUGCAGUUGACUGAGUUCUCCGGUGACUGUGAGCAGGACUGAUGCGUGCCACUUGCAGGCCCACCCAUACGAACUUCCCUCCAAUACCUGUGCAGCCUCCAUGUCCCGUCCUGCAGGCUUCAGGUCCCCUAGGCCAGCCAUGGGGGCCACAAACUGAAGACAAGAGGAAGAAGUCUGGGGCCCUCAUCGUGGCAGGAGGAGAGCUGCCCAGGAAUACUGCCUGACCAGAGACACCACAUGAGACUCCAUGAGCAGGAAAUAAAUCUUCAUGUUUAAGCCACUGA
Molecule: non-coding RNA, 1523 nt
Organism: Macaca mulatta (Rhesus monkey)
Lineage: Eukaryota; Metazoa; Chordata; Mammalia; Primates; Cercopithecidae
Source: RefSeq, a predicted model, not a curated record